UUUUUUUUUUAAUAAUUCCUAUUUAGUUUAUUUUCAUAAUGAUGAUAAUAAUACAUAAUAUAAUGUAUAUAAUAAUAAUAUAAAUAUUAAUAUUAAUUGUAACCAACAUAAUAAUAAUAAAUUAAUUAAUUAUAUAUAAUUGUAUAUUAUGUAUUAUAAUAUGAUACCUAACAUAUUAUUAUUUUUAUAUUGACUGUAAAAAAACAUAACUAAAAACACGCUUUGGCCAUUAGUCUCGUACACAACAAACGUAAAAAUAAUACAUUAUUAAUUAUUAUUUUUAAGUUUAAUAAUAUUAAUUAAUUGUAACUUUUUUUUUUUUUUUGUAUGAAGAUUUUGCAUCAUUCUAAAAAGGAAAGUCAUUAACAAUAUAAUAAAUGAUAAUUAUCAUUACAUGACAUAUUUUUUUUUUUCUAGAGUUUUUGAUUACAUUAUAUUAUGUGUCAUCAUCGCAAUAAUUAUAUAAGUUUUGAUUUUUGUCUGUAUAACGUGUCGUUAUAGUGUUCAUAUUAUUUUUUUUUACAAUUAUAAUUACAUACGUAAAAUACCUACUCCAAUAAAUUAUUAUACAUAAAUAAAUAAUAUAAUAUUAUUGCAUAUUAUUUAUUUAUUAUAUUAUCUUAUAAAGGUAUAUGCAGUUAAAUUGUGUACGUAACGUGUAAUGGGGUAUGUUUCGAUUUUUAUUAAUAUUUUUAUUUUUAUUUUCGUCAUACAAUGACAAUAUUUAUCAAUAAUAAUAAUGUUAUAGGUUAGGUACCUAUUUAUCUAUCUAUUUAUCUAUAUAAUACGUCAUACCUAUAAUAUAUUAUCAAUUUUGCUUAAGCACACAUUUUUUUUUUUUUUUUUUUUUUAUUUUAUUGUUUACACUAAUAAAUAAUCUAUACAACGUAACAUAUUAUUAUUAUUAUUGUAAAAAAAAAAAUUGGACGGACGGUGAAAAAAACAAAGUGAUGUCAGAUAACGUGAUUUAUUAUUAUUUACUUAUACAGGUAACGACUUGUCAUUAAAAUAUUAUAAGGGCUGCGGCAGGCAGUUAAAUAAUUCUGAUAGUCUGAAUAAUUUAGCUAGAUGAGGUGAUUUCUUUUACCGUAUUAUUUUCUAUGACUAUAUUAUUCGUAUAGGAAUGUUUAUUUAUAUAUGUAAGUAUACUUUUAAAUUUAUUUCAUAUACGGUUAUAUUAUUCAUCGGCAAUCCGUCCAAUUUACAAAAAAAAAAAAAACAACGAAAUUAAAUAAAUUAAAAACGAAAAUUUUGAGCAGUGUUUUUUUUUUUUUUUGUUUGUUUGUUUGUUUGUCGAUAAAUAUAUAUUACAUAAAUUAAUAAUAUUUACCGUAUAUUAAUAUUAUUAUUAAUAUAUUACGUGCUAAAUAUUAGCUUACUUAUGGACACUGAAACACACGUGUUCGUUUUUCAGACGAAAAAAAAAAUUGAAAAAAAAAAAAAUACAACGAUAAACGAGAAAUUUGUAUUACUUAUCAUACGUUAUAACAUUGUUAUAUUAUUUAUUAUAUUUAUGUAUAUUUAUGCAUAGACGAAACCAACAAUACAUAAUAUAUUAUUUAUUAUUAUUAUUAUAAUUAAUUUGGUCUUAAUGAAUCGUAAAUUUAAGUAUAGUGUCAUUAAGAAUGCAACUAAGCGUCGUCGAGUUUAUUAUUAAGGAUUAUAAAAUAAUUAUAAUGUUAUGAUGGCGCGAAGAGAAAGCUAGAAAAAAUUAAAAAAAAAAACAAAAUAAUAAUAACGAGUUUUGGUCCUGUAUUUGUUUUAUGAACAAUAUUGAUGCUGCGUGUUAUUAUAUGUUUUUCGACGAAUUUUUGUUUUAAUCGAUUUAUAAAAAAAAAAGGGUUUGUUUUUUUUUUUUAUCAUAAGUGUUUAAUUACGAGAUUGUUUUUAGAUUCUGAGCGUAUUUUUUUUUUUUUAUUAGUUUACAACGAUAAUUAUAAAUAAAUUCAAAUAUACACAAUACAUUACACGUUCACGCGUAACGUAUUAUAAAUACAGUAAUGUGUUCACCUAUUUACAAUAUACCUACACUGGCUUUACACUAUGGUUCCUACACUAUAAGGACACGCACAAAAAAGAGAUUUUUCACGCAUACAAAUAUAUUAUUAUAUAUCUGUGGCUGGGUUCAAGCGAGGCCAAUGUAAAAAACAAAAAAAAAUUAGUACUACAAUAAUUGAAUCGAUCAACGGAUAAAAGUGUUAAAUAACGUUCGUUUUAUGUUUUUUUCUUUUCUUCUGAAACUGGUGUCAUUUCGUUAAUUUCUGGUGUGUUUCAGAGACGUGUGUAACGUAUUUCGGAACAAAUAUACACGUAUUUAUGGAAAUAUUGAUUAACGUGUACGCAUUACAUAGUUUGAGUUUUUGUUAGCAUACGGUUACUGAACAAUAUGUUAAAAAUGGCAUAUAUUAACACAAAUAUCCGCUGAUCUCUUUCAAUUAUUGACUUUACGUUAGAUUUUUGGAAAUAAAUCCGUUUUUUUUUGCAACACACGAUUUUCAAUUUAAUUUUGAAAUUUUUUUUUUCUACAUUGACUCUUCACCUAACCAAGCCACUGCAGUUAUAUAAAUAAUUUGUAUUGUAACGGAGAGUUUUUUUCAUAAAAUAUAUACGCGUCACAAUCGACUAAGAAUUUUUUUUUUUUUGUAUAUGUAGAUAAAACGAUUACAAUAUGUUUUUUUUUUUUUCAGUUAAAUAUUAUUAUUUAGACUAAUAAUUUAUUAAAUAAUAUUGAUUUGUUUCCCCUCCCCCCCCCCUCGUAGUACAUAAUAAUAAUUUUUGUAAUAUUAUACUAUAUUAUUAUUAUUAUUAUUAUAUACCAGUAAUAAUAUAUGCACCAACAUAAUUUUACACAGCACGUUUUAGAGCUUAUUUAAACAAUUUUAUAACAUAAUACAAUAUUAUAUGUAGGUACUUAUUCAGUUAGUGUUAUUAUAAUAUGGUUAUAUAAGUAAUAAUAAGUUAUACAUCGUCAAUUCUACAGCCGACUUAUCUAUAUGUACGGUAUUAUACUAUAGUUUUUUUUUUUUUUUUUUGUUUUUUUUUUGCUUUUUACAUAUAUAAUAUAAUACGCGCUUAACAUUGUUACGAUUAAAUAACAUUUCGAAUUCGUAUUAUACCGUCGUAAUAUGCACUCUACAUUAUGUAUCAUAAUGAUGUAAACAUUAACGAGGUGUAAGACGUUAUCGUAUUAUUAUACUCGUCGCACGGUGGCUAAAUAUUACCGUAUAUAGGUGUGUUACGGCGCGGGCGACUCCGUACGGUCGGACGCGCGUUGAUAGGCCGCGAGCGUAGCGCGUGGACGGCCGCCAACGCGCGGUUUCAGUGGCGAUUUCGUCGUCGUGUUACGCGCGUGUACGCCACGACAGCAUGACACAGACCGAUUAAAAAGGGCCGCUCGGUUCUCGAUUGACGGUCGCCUGCAUUGGCCUACACGCGAUCGCGUCGCAUGUUGCACGUGCGUAAAUGUAGCCGCCGGCUUCUCGUUGGCUGUAACGCAUAACGGCAACGUACGUUGUAUUGGCGCCGUCCGACGCGUCGAGGAGGUCGUCGUCACCGUGUACAGCCUCAUGACUCUGCAUACGGUUUUCGGGAAUCCCCGACGGUCGUCACUUCCGGCUACCCCCCCGUCGUCUCCCGGGUCGAUUGCCACUCGAUCGUCUGUAGACGGUACACCGCACGAAAACGCGACGCGCCGUACGAUAAUCCGUCAAUUUCGUCACGGUGUAUACGCGUAUAGCGGCGGCACACAAAUCCGGCGAUCGAUUUUUUAAGUUUUAAUUUUUACACGUUUCUUCUAGCGUUUAAAUAUUUUCAAAACGGACGCGGGCCUGCGGUCCACGACCGAAACGCCGUAGACGAUGCCGUCGUCGUGCCUAUAUACGUAUAUUUAGCCGCACGGACACUCGAAUAUUAUGUUAUUGAUUUUUUUUUUUUUUCGUAGCAAAAGAAAUUUAAAAAAAAAAAAAAAUGACCGCAGUUAAAAAAAAAAAAAAAAAAAAAAAAAAAAAAAUUUNNNNNNNNNNNAAAUUUUUUUUUUUUUUUUUUUUUUUUUUUUUUUAUAUAAUUAAGCGAAACGUUCAACGUACACCGGAUAGUAUUUAAUAAUAGUUAAU
This 4112-nucleotide long non-coding RNA is filed under the name Cinara cedri. Lineage: Eukaryota; Metazoa; Arthropoda; Insecta; Hemiptera; Aphididae. The record is from RNAcentral.